This 38-nucleotide non-coding RNA is filed under the name Chromera velia. The record is from RNAcentral. Lineage: Eukaryota; Chromeraceae.
CAGUGCACGCAUGCAUUGAGUGGCUCGACUGCUCUCUC